RNAcentral lists this ribosomal RNA (253 nucleotides) under uncultured bacterium. Its description in RNAcentral is "partial 16S ribosomal RNA". It matches the Rfam family "Bacterial small subunit ribosomal RNA", at positions 524 to 776 of the family's 1533-position model. The record is from RNAcentral.
UACGUAGGGUGCGAGCGUUGUCCGGAAUUACUGGGCGUAAAGAGCUCGUAGGUGGUUUGUCGCGUUGUUCGUGAAAACUCACAGCUCAACUGUGGGCGUGCGGGCGAUACGGGCAGGCUAGAGUUCGGUAGGGGAGACUGGAAUUCCUGGUGUAGCGGUGAAAUGCGCAGAUAUCAGGAGGAACACCGAUGGCGAAGGCAGGUCUCUGGGCCGAUACUGACGCUGAGGAGCGAAAGCGUGGGGAGCGAACAGG